CAGUCUAGGGGGCUGUUAGGGCCGCCCUGGGAGACACACAGCCCGCAGCAGGAGCGCGACAGAUCCUGGCAGAAGAAGUACUUUUUAAAAACCACAGCUGGAAUGUGCCUGGGACGCCGAGUCCUGCCGAACACUCCCCAGCAGCCGCGUGACAGUGACGUAAUCAUUGUUUGCAGAUGGAGAAGCUGCCGUCCCCAGCUAGCACCCCACUCCGAGGUGCCAGCGCCCUGCAGGAGGGCACUGCUGAGGCACAGCGGCUGGCAGCUGGGACGAGGGUCUGAGGAAGGCCGCCUGCAACUGACAGCCCUCCCCCGCCCCAGAUGCCUGGAGAAGGAGCCCCUGGGCUCUGCUGUGCUCUGGCAGUGCGGGUGUCCUGGGAGUUACAGAUGCAGACGCCCCUGCCGGCCACUUCUUGAAGCUCAGCUCAAAGCACCAAGCCUCCCUCCCCUGCCAGCCCAGGGAGGGGCGGAUAACACCAAACCCUCAAACACCGAAGCAGGGAAAGUCUGCCAGGCACGGCUUCUGGGAGCUUCUCCCUACACCAAACUCAGAUGCCCCCCCCCCGGCCAGGCAGGUUUUUCUCCGUGAAUAUAUGCUUCUUCCCUACAGCACGGCAACCCUGACGCAGAGACGGCUGCGUCUGCUGUUUACCCCGUGCUCCUGCAUCACGGUCCUGUCCCCGUGUCGGUCAUCAAAACGUGACUUCCAAAGGCUUGUGCUCUGUGGGUGCAUCCCCCACUUUGUGUAAUGGAGCCUCUGUUUGGUGGCUUUUCAGUUAUUUCCAGUGUCAGAACUCCAGAAACUGGAAGCAGAAGGAACCUCGGAAGACGUGCGGGCCCCCUCCCUGUCACCCUCACCUGGGGGACAGAGAAUCAAUCCACCCUGCCCCAGCAGGGGUCCCCAGAGCUCAGGGGUGGCCGCGGGGUUGGAGGCUGGAGUCCAGCUGGGGUCUCGAGGCUCCGCUUCCUUGGAAUGGGGUAAUAAUAACACCUCUCUCCCUGGGUUGAUAGAGGAUGGAGAGCCAUAACGAAUUGGAAGUUCUCAGCCACUGUUACUAAAUUUUUAUCGCCCAUGCUGUCGGGAAGGAACACAUGCCCUGAGGGGGCGCUUUCUACCUGAGCAGCUGUGUGAGGUCACAGAAAGGGCUCUGAACUGCAGUCUGGAAACUUGACUCUGACCAGGGCAGCCCCGAUCCUUGGCCACGUGGUCUGAGGUUUCCGCACACGGUCUGCUACCUGUGUCCUGGCCCAGCCCACAGAAGACUCCCUCUUGCGACGACAGCCCCACCGAUGCUCACAGACACUGCUGCGACUCCACGGGAGGGCGGGCCUUUUCUGUAAAAGGCCAGAGAGUGAAUAUUUCAGGCUUUGCAGGCCAGAUGGUCUCCGGAAAGCAGCCUCUGACACUAUGCAGACGAACUGGCGUGGCUGCCUGCCAAUAAAGCUUUAUUGACAAACAUGGGCUGCAGAAUUCAUAGAGGCAGAGAGUAGAUUAGAGGUUGCCAGGGCCUAGGGGGCUAUUGUUUGAUGGGUACAGAGUUUUAGUCUAAGGUGAUGAAAAAUUCUGGAACUAGACAGUGGUGAUGGUUGCCCAGCCAAGUUAAGGUAAAGGGAACGCACUUAAUGCCAUUGAACUGUCCAUGUGCAAACGGUUAACAUGGCAAACUUUAUGUUAUGCUGAUUUUGACCACAAGAAAAAUGGUUAAAAUGGCAAAUUUUAUGUUUCACUUGUUUAAGAAGAAAGAAAGAAAGAAAAACAAAACAGGCUGGGGACCGGAUUUGGCCCCCAGGCCAUCACUUACUGGCAUUCUCAGAGUCCUGCCAUGGGACGCCCCUUUGCCACGGUAAAUCCACCAGUUUCCUGAUUCUGUGUCUCCUCGGCAUCUGGGCACGGUGUCCUGCACCCAGGAGGCAACUCUAAAAACUGGACUCUUAUUCUGGGUUCCUUCGCAUGCCCAAUGCCUUCCGUUGGACGUGAACUUAGCAAGGAACAUGGUGUUUCAGGUGGGGCCCCCCAUCUGGGGCACCCGCUGGGCCUGUGGCUGCUCUGGGUUUGGGCAGCACACGUGUUCCUCUGUGGUCCAGGUUAGACCUUGGGGCGCCAACCCCGCUGGCUCAAACCCAGCAGGCAGCCCGCUGUGGGAGAAAAUCCAGGCAUUUUUCCUCUGAACUGUGGCAAGGUGGGCCCCUCAGACUGAUGUAUUGAUUUUGGGGACACUAACUGUAGGAUUUAAUAGGAAAAUUCUGCUUGCUCCUUCACUCGAUCAUUUUCGCCUGCCAGCACCUUUUAGAAUCUGUCAUCUGUUGUAUCCGCUGUCCUCCCAGCUUUGUGUCAUCUGGAAAUGACUUCUAAUAUCUUCACACAAGUCACCAGGUCCCUGAUGGAGACACGGCAGAGGCUAGAGCCAACCUCGGCUGCCACGGGAUCAUUAAUCAAUACUCUUUGGGUGCGAUGGAUCUGCUGGUGAAAAAGUCACCUAAUUGGAUGGUUACCUUCCGGCCACUUCUCUAUCUUUUCCACAAGGACAUCACACACAGUGCCAUUUCAAAAUGAUGUCACUUCCUCCACAGAAUUCUUCCACAUUGAAAGGGAAACAGGCGAGUCAGACACGACUUAUUUGGGGCUAAACCAUGUGGGCUUCUGGGCUCCAACCUUCUAGGUGCUUGGAACCAAUCUGGUGGCUGAAGGUGCAACAGUUCCCUGCACCUUAAAAAUUCCGACUUUAAACGGAGACAGCCCAGACCCAGAACCUCAAAGCCAGGCAAACAGCUCUAUAACAGCUGCUGAAAAGAAGAAGGAACAAGAAUACAAAUAAAAUGCAUCUAGAUUUUGAUGGGAGCAAAGCUUUCCCUUCGAAAAGUAAGUGGGCAGUCACAGCCACGAGGUCUCACGUGAACUCGCGCACUAAUUUUUAAACGCAACCUUUCCAAUGGGAAGCAGCCCUGAAGACCGCUUCUUGUGCAGGUGUUCCGAGCUCUCUGAGCAAACGCCACUGUCCUGACUUCCAAGAUAUUCACUCCCUGCCCCAACGCGCGCACCAGCCUGGGAGUCACUGUCCCCUCCGGGACAGAAGCCGGCUGGGCCGCAUCCCGGUCGUGAAGACAGAAACCCCAGACGCGGCUCCCGAGUAACCAUGGCUCCGGGCAUGCGCAGUUAGGAGCCCGGCGAACGUCCGUCUACUCCGUCUUCCGCGCGCAGCAGAACCGCAGAACCUGUGUCCUGAACGACCUCAACAGACAUUUACUGAAGUUUCAAUUUCACGUGGGUGUCCCCUCUAGGAGCGGCAAGGAACUGCAUCGAGCUUUAUGAUCUGGGAGAGGUGCACUCCCUGAAUCUUCCUGGCUAACUGGACCAGACGUUACUAUGCAGCUGAGGGACCGGAGUUUCUGGGACUUUAAGGGACUUGUUGAAGCCCCCAGGCACCCAGCUGCGAGGUGUUGGCAUCGCUGCCGAGGCGCACCCUUUCUCGUGUCCCGCGGGGCCGGGGCCCUGGAGACACAGAAGGAGGGGAGCCAGGGCGCCUGCCGGGAGUGCAGACCACCUGGUGCAUUUCCUGAACUUUAGCACAUGCCUGGGCGUGGGCAGCCCUCCCUAGGGCCUGGGGAACAAGGGAGCCCCAUCUUACCUCGUCGGUGAUCUGGCCUCCAAAGGUCACCCAUGUCCCUGGAAGGAGACACACAGGUUCAAGUCAGAGAACCGCCCCGGGGAGCCCGGUUCUCCUCCAGGGGUGCUUGGACCUCAGGCUGCAGGGAGCCUGCUCCGUGUGAGCGUGUGCUUGGCACAUGUGGACACCUGGCCUUCAGGGCAAGUCUCCCUUUCUUGAGGCCACCAAACCAAGGGAACAGUAAGUGCCUGGAGCGGGCAGCUGACUGCAAGGCUUUGAAAUGUUUGCUGGGGCUCAAGCUGACACAGUGCCUAUUCCAGGGACACGCCGCUGGCAGCGGGACCAGGGCCAUCUCCCUGAAGAUGCGCAGGUCUGACAGCCAUGUCCUCGCGCUUGCUGGGAGGGGUAUGUGUGUGUGCGCGCACAUGCACGCGUGGACUGGAGGGACAGCUUGUUCGGGGAACAGAGCACAUAUCUGGCAAAAGGAGAAAAAAGGCAAAAUCCGACUGCCCUUCACAAGGGACUCCUCCACAUAAGGAAACAAGGUGUGGGAACAUGGGGGCAGGUGCUUCCCUGAUCUUUGGGUGCUGGACAGGGGGCUGAGUGUGCAGAGGCCCCGGUACUCCCCACCCCAACUAAGGCUGCAUCUCUGUCUCCCUCCCUUUCCUAGGACCCUCCCCCACUGCCUCCUGGUAACCACGGCAACUGAGUCCCCCAGUCCCGGCUCCGGGUGCAGCUCCCUCCCUGCACCCCCAGGGGUGGCCCCUUCAGCCUUCCCACUGCCCCUGCUUCCUUGGGUGCUGCUGGAACCAGAGGCCGCCACACUCACCGAGCCCCAGGCAGGAGACCCGCAGGCCUGACUUGCCCAGGUUCCUAGAAAACAAACAUGGUGUGAGUUCUCAGCAGCCAGGGCAGGCCCCACCGUUCCCACUGCCCAGCCCUCCGAACCCCACAUCCCAGCCUCUUUUUGGGGCUCUGGCAGCAAGGGGUCCUUUGAAGAGAGGCCUGCUGAUUGCCCACCCUGGGCGUAAAGGGUCAAUUCUCCCCCUCUACAGACCGGGGCAUGGCCAUCCUGGUGGGACAGGCCGUGCUGUGACCAUGGCAGGGCCCCCGAGAGCCACCUUGGAGAGAAAACAUGGAAUGGGCCCUGUCUUGUUUCAUGGGUUGACGCGAGACUGACUCAGGCCGUGGGGUACCCGCCACAGGCAUCCUUGUGUAAACAGCUUCUCUUUCUGCUUCUUCAGAGCGUCACGUUGGCGGUUCUGUGUAUUUUCACUCCCUCUCUCCGAGGAGUGGAGGAGAAAUUAGUUCCACGUCGCCUGGGCCCCGCAGCCCUCGGCCUCUGCAGCAGGAUGAGGGGAGAGGAGAGCUCCGCCGAGGGCCCUGUGCCCGCAGCAGGCCUGACUCCCAGCCAGGAGAGGGCAGGAGGGCAAGAGACAGACACUCUGGCAGCACACUUCCUGCUCGGGGCCAGCGGACGCAGCUGCACAGGCUGCCCGGGGCUCCGCCGCAGGCCUGCCGAGGCGCCCGCCAGAUGGGGCACGUCCCGGGGUCCACGUGAAUGAGCUGCGGACUGUCAUUAAUGUCCUUAGGGGUCAAGGCGGGCGGUGACGCCUGGCUGAGGACUGGGAUGCCCAUCCAUCCUGCACAGACUGGCUGAGGCCUGUCCUUAAGGGCCCUGUCACCGACCCCCUGACAGCUCUGUGGGGCAGCACCUCCCCUUUCCUGAUAGGCCCACUUUAUAGACGAGCACACUGGGCCUGCCCGGGGGCAGAGGAGCUGGGAGUCCACGCAGACAGUCAGCCCCGAGAACACGCCCCCACCAGGGGGGCACGCCCCACCAUGGGGGCGUCGACGGGUUGCAGGGUAGGAGCGCACUUCCCUGGGAGGUCCUGCUGCCCGCACCCCGGUCCUGGGCCCAGCCCGGGGUGCGACGCUCUCCGGGGCAGUGGGGAGCCAGAGAGUGGGGGCAGGGGGAGACGCAGUGGGUGAGCCCCAGCCUCCUACCCCGAGGCCCCCUGGUGUUUCCCUGGGGCUACCCCACUUCUAACUUCAGUGGAUGCUGUGUCCUGUUUUCCUCACUCACCUGGCUCCCCUGGGAAGCAGGUGUGGGGCUGAGCCUGACCUGCCGCCCUCUGACAUGAGUCCACUCACCCCCAACAAGACCCCUGGCCCCGCUCACAUCACAGAUGGUUGUUGGUGGCGGGUGGGUAUAAUAAACUUGUAAGCAGUUUGAUAACAGUUUGUCACCAAAUUUAAGGCAGUCCUAAACGGCCUGGCUUUCUUGUCAAAUUUCCCAUUAAACCCAGCCCAGCUGCCAACCCACUGCUCCUACAGGGUACGUUGGGAGUUUUCCCUCAGUGAGGACAUAAUAGCAGCUGGCUUCUGUUUCGGGGAGGGGAGUGGCUACAGCAGAGGUUCUGAAGCUGGAGUUCAAAUCCUGGUUCGACCUUCCUGGCCGUACGCCUGCCCCUGGACGUGUCAUGUAACCGCGCAUGCCUUGGUGUGCUCAUCUGCAGAAUGGGCUCGUGAUGCUGCCUCUCUCAUGGGGCUGCCGUGAGGAUGAACUGAGAUGACACCUGUGCCUGGGACAGAGGGUCAGAGAACACUGCCUCUGCAUGAGUCUCAUUUCCAAGAGAGACAGCACAGAACAAGGGAUGGCAGCCUUUUUCCUUAUAUGAGAAACGACAAAGGACAAAUCAAAUAGAUUUUAAAUGUUACCGGGUUAGAAAAGGAAUUGAAGUUUCCCCUUGUUCAUUUCCCACUAAAAUCAGUGAAAUAAUCUAUCGGUGUCCUCGGCAUUGCCUGCAUAUUACAACCCAGAGCAACUUGGGUUUGUGAUUGUCAGAGAGAGGCACAAUUUGCAACUGUGUAAGGUGAUAGAUAUUAACUAAACUUAUUGUGGUGAUCAUUUCACAGCAGGUGAAUGUAUCAAAUCGUUCUGCUGUACCUUACACUUAAUACAACGUUACGUGUUAACUAUAUCUCAAAAAGAAAAAUAAAGCUGGGAAUAAUGCUUAGACUAUUCUUGAUUUAACCUCAGAUUUCCUAUGAAAGAUUUAAAAUAUAAUAUGUACUAAAUUCAAGGGCUUAGUCAAAAACAGUCUUUAAAAGGUUUCUUAAUCAAAUCCUAACAGACAUAAAGGGAGAAACGGAUGGGAACACAAUAAUAGUUGGAGACUUUGACACCCCACUAACAUCAGUGGGCCGAUCUUCCAGACAGAAAAUCAAUGAUGCAACAGAGGUCUUAAAGGACACAAUAAAAGUUUUCUUACAUAGUUUCAAUCAUGCUUGGAUUGCUGUUGCUUGCUAAGUAGAAAGUAAACUUGUGUUUUGUUGUAUAUAAA
Non-coding RNA from Vicugna pacos (alpaca), 6951 nucleotides. NCBI's taxonomy places the organism in Eukaryota, Metazoa, Chordata, Mammalia, Artiodactyla, Camelidae. The record is from RefSeq and is a predicted model, not a curated record.